GGCUGAGUAGUAUAAAGGCUAAAUGCUUCGGAUUGCAAAUCCGUAAAUGGCGGUUCGAUUCCGCCCUUAGCCU
This 73-nucleotide transfer RNA is filed under the name Ishige okamurae. RNAcentral's name for it is "tRNA-Cys". It matches the Rfam family "tRNA". From Rfam's summary of the family: Transfer RNA (tRNA) molecules are approximately 80 nucleotides in length. Their secondary structure includes four short double-helical elements and three loops (D, anti-codon, and T loops). Further hydrogen bonds mediate the characteristic L-shaped molecular structure. tRNAs have two regions of fundamental functional importance: the anti-codon, which is responsible for specific mRNA codon recognition, and the 3' end, to which the tRNAs corresponding amino acid is attached (by aminoacyl-tRNA synthetases). tRNAs cope with the degeneracy of the genetic code in two manners: having more than one tRNA (with a specific anti-codon) for a particular amino acid; and 'wobble' base-pairing, i.e. permitting non-standard base-pairing at the 3rd anti-codon position. Lineage: Eukaryota; Phaeophyceae; Ectocarpales; Ishigeaceae. The record is from RNAcentral.